Molecule: ribosomal RNA, 468 nt
Filed under: uncultured bacterium
Lineage: Bacteria
Description: bacterial SSU rRNA
Rfam family: Bacterial small subunit ribosomal RNA
Source: RNAcentral
GUUUGAUCCUGGCUCAGAACGAACGCUGGCGGCAUGCCUAACACAUGCAAGUCGAAACGAAGAACCUUCGGGUCUAGUGGCGCACGGGUGCGUAACGCGUGGGAAUCUGCCCUCUGGUACGGAAUAACUCAGGGAAACUUGAGCUAAUACCGUAUAAUGACUUCGGUCCAAAGAUUUAUCGCCUGAGGAUGAGCCCGCGUCGGAUUAGCUAGUUGUGGGGUAAAAGCUCACCAAGGCGACGAUCCGUAGCUGGUCUGAGAGGAUGAUCAGCCACACUGGGACUGAGACACGGCCCAGACUCCUACGGGAGGCAGCAGUGGGGAAUAUUGGACAAUGGGCGAAAGCCUGAUCCAGCAAUGCCGCGUGAGUGAUGAAGGCCUUAGGGUUGUAAAGCUCUUUUACCCGGGAUGAUAAUGACAGUACCGGGAGAAUAAGCCCCGGCUAACUCCGUGCCAGCAGCCGCGGUAA